CCUACGGGUGGCAGCAGUGGGGGAUAUUGCACAAUGGGGGAAACCCUGAUCCAGCGAUGCCGCGUGAAUGAAGACGGCCCUCGGGUUGUAAAGCUCUUUUGCAGGGGACGAAAAUGACGGUACCCUGCAAGAAAGCUCAGGCUAACUCCGUGCCAGCAGCCGCGGAAAUAGGUAGGGAGCAACGGUAGUCCGGAAUUAUGGGGGGUAAAGGGGGCGUAGGGGGGAGGAUAGGUUGAAUGUGAAAUCUAUGGGCUCAACCCAGAGCUGCGUCUAAAACUGUUCUUCUUGAGUGAAGUAGAGGCAGGCGGAAUUCGUAGUGUAGCGGUGAAAUGCGUAGAUAUUAGGCGGAACACCAGUGGCGAAGGCGGCCUGCUGGGCUAUUACUGACGCUGAGGCUCGAAAGCGUGGGUAGCAAACAGGAUUAGAUACCCUUGUAGUC
Molecule: ribosomal RNA, 439 nt
Filed under: uncultured bacterium
Lineage: Bacteria
Description: partial 16S ribosomal RNA
Rfam family: Bacterial small subunit ribosomal RNA
Source: RNAcentral